Molecule: ribosomal RNA, 90 nt
Filed under: Listeria monocytogenes
Lineage: Bacteria; Bacillati; Bacillota; Bacilli; Caryophanales; Listeriaceae
Description: partial 23S ribosomal RNA
Rfam family: Bacterial large subunit ribosomal RNA
Source: RNAcentral
AGUAAAUUGGUUAAGUUAGAAAGGGCGCACGGUGGAUGCCUUGGCACUAGGAGCCGAAGAAGGACGGGACUAACACCGAUAUGCUUUGGG